GUGGCUCGCUUGUGGGCGGAGGUCUUGGAUCUCCUGGCUGCUGCUCUCUUCUGCUUUCAUCCUGCAGGUGGGACUCUCAGCUGACACCAUGAGUAGUGACACUGAAAUGGAAGUGUUUGGCAUAGCCGCUCCUUUCCUCCGGAAGUCAGAAAAGGAGCGGAUCGAGGCUCAGAACCAGCCCUUUGAUGCCAAAACGUAUUGCUUUGUGGUGGACUCAAAGGAAGAAUAUGCCAAGGGGAAAAUCAAGAGUUCUCAGGAUGGGAAGGUCACCGUGGAAACCGAGGACAACAGGACCCUGGUGGUCAAACCAGAGGAUGUGUAUGCCAUGAACCCCCCCAAGUUCGACAGGAUCGAAGACAUGGCUAUGCUGACGCACCUGAAUGAGCCAGCCGUGCUGUACAACCUGAAGGACCGUUACACAUCCUGGAUGAUCUAUGUCAGCGAGGGCUUUCGCCGUGGUUUCCCUGGGGCAUUAGAUAUGCGGGCGGGGGAGGGCCAUAGGAUUCUGGAAGAUGAGUGCUUGCCUAGCUGAUGAACAAAAGACAAAGAGGGAGGAGAAAGA
Molecule: small RNA, 562 nt
Filed under: Pongo abelii (Sumatran orangutan)
Lineage: Eukaryota; Metazoa; Chordata; Mammalia; Primates; Hominidae
Description: retained intron
Source: RNAcentral